Cricetulus griseus (Chinese hamster) is the source of this 319-nucleotide unclassified non-coding RNA. Its record names the gene 7SK. It matches the Rfam family "7SK RNA". Rfam says of the family: 7SK was discovered as an abundant small nuclear RNA in the mid-70s but a possible function has only recently been suggested. NCBI's taxonomy places the organism in Eukaryota, Metazoa, Chordata, Mammalia, Rodentia, Cricetidae. The record is from Ensembl.
GGCUUUGAGGGUGAUCUAGCUGCCUCAUUGUCACCUCAUCUGUCACCUCAUGGAUUGCCAGGGUUGAUUCGGCUGAUUAGGCGGGUGUCCUCUUCCUCCCUCACCAAUCCAUGUGCAUCCCUUCCAAAGCUGCACCCUCAGUCAAAGAGGACGACCUUCCCCUGAAUAGAGGAGGACUGGUCUUCAGUCAAGGGUAUACAAGUAGCUGCGCUCCCCUGUUAAAACCUCCCAACAAACUUUCAAGACUAACAAAUGUCUUUCAUUGGAUCAGGCAUGAAGAAAUAAAAACAAAAGCUAAUAAUAUUUUUGAAUGAUAAUU